This 601-nucleotide ribosomal RNA is filed under the name Erythrobacter dokdonensis. Its description in RNAcentral is "bacterial SSU rRNA". It matches the Rfam family "Bacterial small subunit ribosomal RNA", at positions 107 to 743 of the family's 1533-position model. Lineage: Bacteria; Pseudomonadati; Pseudomonadota; Alphaproteobacteria; Sphingomonadales; Erythrobacteraceae. The record is from RNAcentral.
UGCGUAACGCGUGGGAACCUGCCCUUAGGUUCGGAAUAACUCAGAGAAAUUUGAGCUAAUACCGGAUAAUGUCUUCGGACCAAAGAUUUAUCGCCUUUGGAUGGGCCCGCGUUGGAUUAGCUAGUUGGUGGGGUAAAGGCCUACCAAGGCGACGAUCCAUAGCUGGUCUGAGAGGAUGAUCAGCCACACUGGGACUGAGACACGGCCCAGACUCCUACGGGAGGCAGCAGUGGGGAAUAUUGGACAAUGGGCGAAAGCCUGAUCCAGCAAUGCCGCGUGAGUGAUGAAGGCCUUAGGGUUGUAAAGCUCUUUUACCCGAGAUGAUAAUGACAGUAUCGGGAGAAUAAGCUCCGGCUAACUCCGUGCCAGCAGCCGCGGUAAUACGGAGGGAGCUAGCGUUGUUCGGAAUUACUGGGCGUAAAGCGCACGUAGGCGGCUUUUUAAGUCAGGGGUGAAAUCCCGGGGCUCAACCCCGGAACUGCCUUUGAAACUGGGAAGCUAGAAUCUUGGAGAGGCGAGUGGAAUUCCGAGUGUAGAGGUGAAAUUCGUAGAUAUUCGGAAGAACACCAGUGGCGAAGGCGACUCGCUGGACAAGUAUUGA